Molecule: ribosomal RNA, 253 nt
Filed under: uncultured bacterium
Lineage: Bacteria
Description: partial 16S ribosomal RNA
Rfam family: Bacterial small subunit ribosomal RNA
Source: RNAcentral
UACGUAGGUGGCAAGCGUUAUCCGGAAUUACUGGGCGUAAAGCGCACGCAGGCGGUCUUUUAAGUUUGACGUGAAAGCUCCCGGCUUAACUGGGAGAGGUCGUUGAAUACUGGAAGACUUGAGGCAAUGAGAGGGGUGUAGAAUUCCUGGUGUAGUGGUGGAAUGCGUAGAUAUCAGGAGGAAUACCAGUGGCGAAAGCGGCACCCUAGCGUUGUUCUGACGCUCAUGUGCGAAAGCGUGGGGAGCGAACGGG